GACGAACGCUGGCGGCGUGCUUAACACAUGCAAGUCGAACGGAAAGGCCCUGCUUUUGUGGGGUGCUCGAGUGGCGAACGGGUGAGUAACACGUGAGUAACCUGCCCUUGACUUUGGGAUAACUUCAGGAAACUGGGGCUAAUACCGGAUAGGAGCUCUUGCUGCAUGGUGGGGGUUGGAAAGUUUCGGCGGUUGGGGAUGGACUCGCGGCUUAUCAGCUUGUUGGUGGGGUAGUGGCUUACCAAGGCUUGGACGGGUAGCCGGCCUGAGAGGGUGACCGGCCACAUUGGGACUGAGAUACGGCCCAGACUCCUACGGGAGGCAGCAGUGGGGAAUAUUGCACAAUGGGCGGAAGCCUGAUGCAGCAACGCCGCGUGCGGGAUGACGGCCUUCGGGUUGUAAACCGCUUUCGCCUGUGACGAAGCGUGAGUGACGGUAAUGGGUAAAGAAGCACCGGCUAACUACGUG
Molecule: ribosomal RNA, 468 nt
Filed under: uncultured bacterium
Lineage: Bacteria
Description: partial 16S ribosomal RNA
Rfam family: Bacterial small subunit ribosomal RNA
Source: RNAcentral